RNAcentral lists this ribosomal RNA (253 nucleotides) under uncultured bacterium. RNAcentral's name for it is "partial 16S ribosomal RNA". It matches the Rfam family "Bacterial small subunit ribosomal RNA", at positions 524 to 776 of the family's 1533-position model. The record is from RNAcentral.
UACAGAGGGGGCAAGCGUUAUUCGGAAUUAUUGGGCGUAAAGGGCGCGUAGGCGGCCUGGCAAGUGGAAGGUGAAAUCCCGAGGCUCAACCUCGGAACUGCCUUUGAUACUGGGGAUCUCGAGUCCGGGAGAGGUGAGUGGAACUGCGAGUGUAGAGGUGAAAUUCGUAGAUAUUCGCAAGAACACCAGUGGCGAAGGCGGCUCACUGGCCCGAUACUGACGCUGAGGCACGAAAGCGUGGGGAGCAAACAGG